Molecule: ribosomal RNA, 253 nt
Filed under: uncultured bacterium
Lineage: Bacteria
Description: partial 16S ribosomal RNA
Rfam family: Bacterial small subunit ribosomal RNA
Source: RNAcentral
CACGGGGGGAGCAAGCGUUGUUCGGAAUCACUGGGCGUAAAGGGCGUGUAGGCGGUCAAGUAAGUGGAAUGUGAAAGCCCCCGGCUUACCCGGGGAUCUGCAUCCCAAACUGCUUGGCUUGAGUACGGGAGAGGAUAGGGGAAUUCCUGGUGUAGCGGUGAAAUGCGUAGAUAUCAGGAGGAACACCGGUGGCGAAGGCGCCUAUCUGGCCCGAUACUGACGCUGAGGCGCGAAAGCCAGGGGAGCAAGCGGG